RNAcentral lists this small nuclear RNA (187 nucleotides) under Zea mays. RNAcentral's name for it is "U2 spliceosomal RNA". It matches the Rfam family "U2 spliceosomal RNA". Rfam says of the family: U2 is a small nuclear RNA (snRNA) component of the spliceosome (involved in pre-mRNA splicing). Lineage: Eukaryota; Viridiplantae; Streptophyta; Magnoliopsida; Poales; Poaceae. The record is from Rfam by way of RNAcentral.
AUAUCUUUCUCGGUCUUUUGUCUAAGAUAAAGUACAAUAUCUACAAUUUAAUAUUUGGUAUAUGGAUCAUAUGUCCACUUUAAUUUUAAGUUUAUUUUUAUGGGUAGGAUCCACAUUAAUUUUUAAAUUAUUUUUUAUGGGGAGGGUCCAUCAUAUUGGCUUACACUAAGCCCUCGUGUGUCGUAUA